RNAcentral lists this ribosomal RNA (130 nucleotides) under Galerina pseudocerina. RNAcentral's name for it is "partial 28S ribosomal RNA". It matches the Rfam family "Eukaryotic large subunit ribosomal RNA", at positions 51 to 177 of the family's 3401-position model. The record is from RNAcentral. Lineage: Eukaryota; Fungi; Basidiomycota; Agaricomycetes; Agaricales; Galerinaceae.
CGGAGGAAAAGAAACUAACAAGGAUUCCCCUAGUAACUGCGAGUGAAGCGGGAAAAGCUCAAAUUUAAAAUCUGGUGGUCUUAGACUAUCCGAGUUGUAAUCUAGAGAAAGUGUUAUCCGCGCUGGACCG